AAAGACAGGUGAGAAUCCUGUCCACCGAAUGACUAAGGUUUCCUGGGGAAGGCUCGUCCUCCCAGGGUAAGUCGGGACCUAAGCCGAGGCCGAGAGGCGUAGGCGAUGGAUAACAGGUUGAGAUUCCUGUACCAGUUAACUGCGUUUGACGAUGGAGGGACGCAGGAGGCUAAGCAAACCGUACGACUGGAAGAGUACGGCCAAGCAGUAAGUCAGGAUGUGAGUCAAAUGUUUACAUCCGUGUUGACAAGCUGUGAUGGGGAGCGAAAUUAAAGUAGCGAAGUUGCCGAUGUCACACUGCCGAGAAAAGCUUCUAAGGAGUAGUUAACUGCCCGUACCGCAAACCGACACAGGUAGUCGAGGAGAGAAUCCUAAGGUGAGCGAGAGAACUCUCGUUAAGGAACUCGGCAAAAUGACCCCGUAACUUCGGGAGAAGGGGUGCUGGCCGCAAGGCCAGCCGCAGUGAAUAGGCCCAGGCGACUGUUUAUCAAAAACACAGGUUUCUGCAAAAUC
RNAcentral lists this ribosomal RNA (513 nucleotides) under Limosilactobacillus reuteri. RNAcentral describes it as "bacterial LSU rRNA". It matches the Rfam family "Bacterial large subunit ribosomal RNA", at positions 1313 to 1832 of the family's 2925-position model. Lineage: Bacteria; Bacillati; Bacillota; Bacilli; Lactobacillales; Lactobacillaceae. The record is from RNAcentral.